UAGGCAUUAUAAGGAACACUGAGCUGGGUGAAUUCUGAGGUCCUAGCUAUGGCAUUGUGUGGUUUAUUCAGUUAGCAAACCUGAGAACCUGGCAUGAGGAAGAAAAAGAGGACUGAGCGAAAGUGUUACUUCUCAGAACUUCCCUUCCUUCCACAGCUAGCAGCCAACACCGUCUGUCCAUAAAAUGUGUUGUGGAGAUCUCGGUGCCAUGUCCUCUCAACUCACCACACUCGGAAUCAUCACUUUUUAGCAUACGGGAACGCAGUACAAUGCGUCCAUGUUCACAGUGUCCUAGAAACACUGAAAUGUUGUUAGCCGGCUCCAGAUUCGGGGCCCCGGACGCCCUAGUUCAUCGCUGCCGGGAAUGCACAUUGCGAGGGGAGAAAAUGCUAGGCAAUCUUCUCUCUCUCCUUCCUCCCCCUUUAAAAGACACCGAAAACCACAUAAAGCCGGUGUGUAGCUUAGGAGCUGUGAGGGGACCAUCCCUUAAUCACUGCUCAUGUCACUGCUUUGCCAGUCACCCCAGAAGCCCCUCUACAGCCUCUCCCCACUCCUUCCCUUUUCCUAAAAGUAAACACUCUCCUGACUCGUGGAGUUACCACCUCCUGACAUUUCUUUACAGUCCCAUCGCCUGGCGGUGCAUUCCUGGUCUCUCGAGUUCCGUCUUGCCGUUUCAACGCAUUUGUUGUCUUUCAGUGCCAUUGGAUCUACAGGUUUCCCUCCUCCGUCUAAAGCAGAGGAACAUUUAACCUGCAGAGUUUCUCACAGUCUGGAUCUUGCUGGCUGCCUAUUCAUGGUACAAUUCAACGUGUUCCUCUGUGCUGUGUAUUUCCUGGGAUUUGGCAGCUGAAAUCAGAGGUUUCAUUAGGCUUGUUUCUAAUCCUUUUGGCAAGACAUUAGGUGGCAGUGUAUUCUUGCAUCGGGAGGCACAUAAUGUCUGGUUUUCUCUCCCUUCACCCCCCUCUUUUCCCUUCAUCUUCAUUCUCUCCCGCCUCUUCUUUUCCCCCUUCUCCUCCUCCUCUAUCUCCACUCCCAGUACACGGUCUGUGGUCCUUUGUAGGGCAGCCCCAGGCUCCAGAUGUGGAAGUGGACAGGAACGGAGGUGGCCAUGUGCUCAGCCGGGGGAACAGGCUUGUGCAGUCAUGACCUUGGCCAUACCAGCUGACCUGAGCCCAGAUUCUUCGACCACAGAAGAGUUAACAUUUUUAAGGGGUUCUUCAUCCUGCUGUAGCCUCGAGUCCACUGAGCAUGGCUGCAAAGGGCAGUCCUCCUCGGCACAGCCAAAGGGCCCCGGGAGCGAGGUCCCCCGCUUGCUGGUGUGACGUGGGUGGGUUCCUCAGCAUAGGCUUCCUGUGUCUUCCCUCAGCGCAACAAACCAUCCUCAGCCCCUUUGCAGAAACGAUUUUGGCCUUUUGGGCCUGACUUUUCGGAAGCCAUGGAGACAUAGAGUCCAAAAGGAUUCAUGGAAAGUAAGUGGCCUGGUUUUUGUUUCCCUUUCUCGGCGGAUGCCGACGUUCUCUUGCUGUUUGUGCUACAGACACGCUGUGAAUGUGUUUCUGAGUGAACUUCCGCCUGUUCCUGUGAAAUUUCAUGAUCUUCUAAGUGAAUCGCUUGGCAGUACAAACACCGAUACUGAAGAAAAGAACCGUGGGGGAAGAAUCACGUAAGGUUCAGUAAGAGUAUGGAAACAUGACCACUUCUGUGAGUCCACACAUUGGAAACUCAAACAGUAGGGAGACUUCACUUCGCCAGCUCCAGGAGUAAAAUCAUUUUCUUUGCUGUUGUUUUUGGCCUUCUGCUGAUAAGCACUUGUAGAAUAACUAGUUGACCUAGCUCAGUCUUGUCUUUUCUGGGUGCGAGCGUGUAUUUGUGUGUUGUUCACUUAACCCUCGACGCAGUAUUUCCAGAUAACAGUGAAGAUGGAGUUACUCUUCUAAAUGGCUCGCUCUCAUUUUUUUUUUUUUAAUGUGUAUUUAGUUUUGAGAGAGAGCGAGCACGUGAGCAGGGUAGGGACAGACAGAGAGGGAGACAGAGGAUCGGAAGCAAGCUCUAUGCUGACAACAGAGAGCGCUCUGUUCAAUGUGGCAGUUGAACUCACGAACUGUGAGAUCAUGACUCGAGCCAAAGCCGGAUGCUUAACCGACUGAGCCACCCGGGUGCCCCGGGUGGCUCUCAUUUUGAGCACUGGAGGUUUGUCUUGGGAAUCCCAUCAGGGCUGAAGAUCCACCAGAAGAGAUAGAAGAGGGUCUGUUUGUACCCUUGUCGACCAGGGCCCGCAUCCUGUGAGCAUUAAGAGGAAAGUAGAAAGAGGAAGUAAGUUGAACAUACCGAUGUCCUUUGGUUUGUGGAUCUGUUGAAACUUGCAGCUGUGGCCAGCUUGGUGGUGGUGGUUGUUUACUAUAUCAUCUUGGAUUUGAAGGCUUUGCAUCUCCUUCUAAAGCAGUGUGUUUGUCCCUUUGCACCCAUGGCCUGAGUCCCCAGGGCGUGGCCAGCCCUCUUCCUCAGUCAUCCUCGCUGACAGGCCCACGCCCCCAGCCUUCCACAGGUGUGCUCACCACAGUACUCAGUGCACAUAAGGGGACAGCUAUCUUGAUCUGGUUUUGCAAGUGCCACGUCUGUGUUCCCUCACUUCUCUUGAUAAUGUUCCUGGGAGGCCAUAGCUAGGCCCCAGCAAUUAUGCAAGGCCGACCGUUUGCCUAACUCCCCGUUCCGUGGCAGAGACUGUCUCUGGUCUCCUGUUCUAUAAAUGUUCUAUUAAAAAAAUGUUUCAGAGACCCAUCUGUGUCACAAUAACAAAAUCCGGUGCAAUAGCAUGCUGCCUGGUGGGAGCAAAAUUCAGCUCUUCAAUAAUCCAAAAUGUGUUUUCUUCUGCUUGUCUCCCUCAUUUUCACAAUAAGUAACAUUGCCGUGUUUGGCUCCCCACGAUUCCAGCAAAUUCCUGCGUAGAGCCCAUUUAAAGGAUCGACUUGCUUUGCAUACCUCGAGGAGUUCAGCGGAUGAGAGAAAUCGAACUAACCGAGAAGUGAGAUGCUGAUGUUCUAAAGCUGUGUUUCCACUUCUUUUUCACAUGAAAGGAUGUCCCAGACAUCAUGAAAGGCACAUGAGCAGAGGAGGGGCAGGGGCAGAGGAAGAGAGAGAGAAUCUUAAGCAUGUUCUACGGUCAGCGAGGAGCCCGAUGCAGGGCUCGAUCUCAUGACACUGAGAUCAUGACGUGAGCCAAAAUCAAGAGUCAGAUGCUUCACCAACUGAACCACCCAGGUGCCCCAGGAGAGUUAGAGGAAGGGGACAUGCGGCCCUGUGUGCCAGCUAACCUGGAACCAACUCCGGGCCUGGGAGGAGGUCAAGCACGUGGAGCUGACCUAGGGAGCAGCGACUGGAGCACCUUUGGUUGGCUUAGUGCUUAAGUUUGAAUGUGGACAUGACAUUUGGAGCUGUGUCAGGAAUAUUGUGACCAUGACAGAAAGGCCAGGAGAGUCACAUAGAAGUCAACUCAGGACUCUGACAUUGCACAGCCACCAGACCAACUACCUACCUCAGGACCUCCUGUUAGGAAAUCUACCUUAGGUUGAAGAUCAACCUGAAAGCUCUCUGUUAUCAAGAGAAGGCUUUUAAUACAGGCAGUACUGAGGGAGGGGAAAACAAGGUAUUCCAAAAGUGAAGAAAUCUGAGGGAUUUUCAAGCAGGUAAGGUCUAUUUGGGAAAGUCUUCCUUCCCAUUUUGAUUUAUUCUAAAAAAAAAUUUUUUAAUGUUUAUUUAUUUAUUUUUGAGAGUGAGACAGAGUGAGAGUGAGGAAGGGGCAGAGAGAGAGGGAGACACAGAAUCGGAAACAGGCUCCAGGCUCUGAGCUGUCAGCACAGAGCCCGACGUGAGGCUCGAACCCAUGAACUGUGGGAUCAUGACCUGAGCUGAAGUCAGACGCUUAACCGACUCAGCCACCCAGGUGCCCCCCAUUUUGAUUUAUUCUAAAGGAAUUAGUAUGUCUUGGGGUAGACAGAGAGGGGGAAGGAUUAGAAAGAAUGUGGCUCAUCUGGCUUGUGGUUGCUGAGCCUCCAGCUAGAUCAGGCGGCUUGGGGUCACCAUCAUGGGCUGUUGGCUGUAAGCUCUCUCAGAGCAACUGCUGCCCUUACAUGGAAGACUAAUAUCAGUGGCCAACUUUCCAGGGAACACAGAAUUCCUGGGCCUUGUUCCAUCCAGUCAGUAAGCCCACUCGAUGUCAGACACAGUCAACAGUCCUGAGGGGGAGACUCUUGGGUUCAUCAAAGGUGAAUAGAAGUUUCUGGAUGUACAAUCCCAGCCACUCUCCUUCCUCCAUGAGAAGGGAGCCCUGUCUGGUCUGGCUGAUUGGACCCGGCCCAGCCCUGUACCACUACCUCUCACCCAGCUUCCCUGAGGUGGCUCUGAGAUGGUGAGAGGGACAGCAGAGGCCUGGAGCCGGAUGUACUAUGGGACUGGACUUCAGUGUUUGAAAACACAGGUGGGCGUGGGGCACACAGAGCAGACUGUAGGUUUCUGUCAUGGUCCUAGCUUUUGUUCUGAGUGAUGGUUUUUCAGUCCUUAUUACGUUAAAAAGUAAAACCAAAAGCCCAAGGAAGUUCCAAUAGGAGGUCAGACGUGGACCAAAACAAGAGAAUGUCAUGAACCAAGGAUGGUGAUUCAUCCAUAAUCCAAUUCUGUGUACCUGAGGGUCAGGAAAUGGAAUGCAGGAAUAAAUUACAGUAAUGCGGUGUCUCAAGUGGCUGCAACAGGGCCUUUGUUGAGCUGGAGAAGGUGGGGGACACCGGCUGGAACACUUCCUCCCCUUUGGCUCCACCAUGGCCUCCAGAAGGGAAUGGACAGGGGUUUGAGCAAAGCGGAGCUGGCUUAGAGGCUAGUGGGAGGCUGUCAGGUCACCUGUAGGAGUCCAGAGAUUCCUCUCCCGAUACCCCCCGGAAAAGGGUGAGUCAGUGUCUGCCUGAGAGAAGCUGGACUCAGGCCCUUUGGAAGUUUUCCCAAGUUUGCAGGAGCCUGUCAGUGGGCAAGGGGUGCCUGUAAGACACGUUCCAUACUUCUGGCUCUCUUGUCACAAGGCUUCCGAUCCUGGAGCGAUCUAGGACGAGCACUGACGUGCAUCUCACAGCCUCACAUCAACCAAGAGCCAGGUUCAUGGUGCCCAAGUUGUAUACAAUUUGGGGAGCCCUUGUAGAAAAUGAACACAAAUUUACCAACACAAAAAUUAGGUACAAAAGCAGGUAUUUAUAUAGAAGUGAGGGCUACUACCUAUAGAUUUACUUUCAUUAGCUUCACAGUAAAUUUGGCUCUGGGUAUAGCUAUCAUCGCUCCCAUUUAAAAGGUCAUGAAAUUGAGGCUCAGGUUGGGGUAGUGACUUGGCCAAGGUCAAACAGUGGGUGAUAAGUGAACUGGAAUCAUAAACCCAGAUCAGUUCAGCGUGGCCCAAAGUGGUAGUAACAUCCUGACCUGUGAUGGUGGAGGUGACGGGGAUGCCACUGUUCUAGAAAGACUGGUUACCUAAUUUGCAUCAUAAAAUGAUUUAUGCCAUCAGCCGAUUAGGUUGUGUCUAUCCAGGGCAUGUUCUGUGCCAGGAGCUGUGUGGGGCCCUGGGAAGAUGGCGGUAGUGGAGACGAACAUAGGCCCUGUACUCCAGGAGGAGAAUAGAGUGCUGAUACCUGCCGUCAGAUGCUGGUGCAGGAGAUUGCAGAGCAAAAUAGAUCACUCUACCAGCUGCUCCCAGAAGACUCUGGGAAAGAGCCACACAUCUUUAGGAAAAUAACUCAAUGAGCUUUUGGAAGUGGAAGGUGAGAGCCGUGGGCCUGAGUUGGGAGAAGGCCCCCAAGAGGUGGUGGGAGCCACUACUCCUGUAGGUGGAGGGGUAGAGGGAAGGGGAGAGGAAGAUGGGCAGAAAUGUCUGAAAGACAAAAAGCCCAACAAACCAGGCUGUCUAUAGGUGGUUUCGUAUUACUGUGUUUUUCUGCUGUAAAUCUCCAUAUCCCCAAGGUAUCAGUACCACUGGACCACCCAGGUGGCUUUGAGGGAUGGCGAGUGUGUGUGUGUGUUUGUGUGUGUGUGUGCGCACGUGUGGUGUGUGUCAAGCUGAGUUCCACAUCUGGGUUAGAUUUAAUAACUAAGGAAAGCAUAAUGGAGUGGAAGCAGGAAAAAUGAUGCCUAGGGCUUCACUGAAACCCAUUGGUAGUAGGCAGGGUGGGGAUUUGGGAUCAUUCCUCAGGUCUUGGAGGCAGAUGGGUCCCAUAGGACAUCUGUGUUGUAAGAAGAAAGCACCGCUAUCGAGAUCCCCUGGACCCCAGUCCCCACGGCUGUGCCAUACGCGUUACCUCAUUUAAUCUCGCCCCCAGUCAUAAGAGGGGGAUGUCUGUUUCCCCCACUCUGCAAGUGAAGAACUCAAGGCUCAGAUAAAGAGCUCAAGGCUCAGAUAGAUUGAACAAUUUGCCAAAAGCAGUAACUACCAAGAGCAGAUCCAUCUGAUUCCACCCUCCCUAAUUCCACAUCCCCAUCAGCCUGGCUGUGAUAUUCCUCCAACUUUGGUCCAUUUCUAGACCCAUGUACCCCAGGUUUCAUAGGGAGGACUCACAGCACAGAGGCUGUGGAUAAGUCCAAGGCAAUUGGUUCCCCGCGGGGCAGUCGCCUCGUUCUGCUCCCUUCUAUGCUCCCUUCUUCCUUCACUCCUGCCAUGGUCCCUGUUAGGUUUCUCAGGGAAGCCAGUGGAAUAUUACUGACCCAGUCACUGGCUCCCACCUCUUAAGUGGGAACAUUACUCCUUUCCAUUGACCAGACUGUCCCUGAAUGUUGCCGAACAUGUGGAAGCUGCUUUUAAGUGUGACCUCACCCAUUAAGUAAAAAUGCUAGGAGAAAAUACAUAGUAUCUUUUUUUCCCUGCCUCUUCAUAGAAAUUGAGAGAAAAACAUUUUAAUGGAACUGUUUAAAUAAGAUGAGGUCUUUAAAACUUGCCUGUAGGUAAAGUACUGGGUCAUGCCAACGAAUUUUGAUGUGUUGGCCAUCUGACUGCCAUCAAGACACAGCUGCUUGUUUUUCUUCUUGCUAAAGUGUUAAAUAGCUGUUAAGUCAGAUCUUAGGUGAUAACAAGCAUCCAAUUAUCACUAAAAAUGGAGUCUGGUUCCAGGGACCUGCUGGUCCUUGGAGAUUCAAGGACAACUCUAUGUGCUGGUACGGCUGGGCCCACACAUCUUGGAGAAACAAAUAAAAAUGGUUAUUUACUGAGUGCCUCUUAUGUGCAUCCAUAGUCUUGUCCUAGCUGCACAGCAAAGUGGACGCUGUAGUUAUCCCCAUUUUGCAGAAGAGGGAAUUGAUGUCCAUGGUCACCAGCUGCAAGUUUCCCAGCCUCAGGAGCACCCUAUCAGGGCACAGCCUGCCACAGGCUACCUCUAACAUGGCCAGAAGGCCCAAUCCGGCAAGAAGAAUGCAGCUAUUAGAGGCCGUGUGAAGGCAACCCUGGCAAUUAGUAUUGGGCAUUGUGCCUGCUGUUUAAGGCAAGGUUCCUUUACUGUUUAAAAAACUGGAUAAUAUAUAUAUAUAUAUUUGGGUUCUUGUUCUGAGCAAGAUGGAGUAUGUGUACUCCAACAUGCCUCUCCCACUGAAUGCAACAAAAAAAAUCCUAGACAGAAUGUGCAGAGCAGCUGUCUGAGGACAAUGAAAGGAAUCAGGAGCAGGUGGAUUGGAGAAGGAGAUCAGAAUCUCAAGUAUCACCAAACCUGUGUUGAGUCUCCCAUUUCCUCCCCUCUGGGACCAUCUGCCUUCUCAACUCAUAGGCAGUCUGAAAACUAGAAAUGCACACCAGAUGCAAACAGAAUGUGCUGUUAAAGGAACCCUUGCUUUCUGGACCAGGAGUGGGAAAAGGGUCUCCUAAGGGUCAGAGGAAGUGGGGGAAAACCCCUGGUUGGCUCCUUUCAUUCUCCUACCUGGACCCCCAGCUAACCUCAAAGCAGCGGUAGCAAUGGUGACAACAGCGAGGAAGGUGCCUAAAGUUCUGAGAGAGGGAAAUCUUCCUUCUGACCACUAUGGUCUCAAAGAGGUAGGACACAAUUCCAUCCAUUUUUUUUUUCUCUCCUUGUCUUCCACUGCUUGGCCCCAUACUCAGACACACUCUGGAGAUUGCACGGUACAUCAGGGAACUAAUGCCCCAGCUCUCUUACCAGAGGGCCACAGGGGGCGAGAGUGUCAGAAUGAUUUCAGAAAGGACAGCUCUUAAGAGAGAGGCCCCAUCUGAACUCCUAGGCUCGUGUCUAAGCUCUGUGUGCUUUGAGAACUCAACCGUGGAUUAGAGCAUCACCCAGGCACCCAGAUGGCCACUGGGUGACUGAAAACAGAUCUGCAAAGUCUUUGGAAACUGAACUGACAUUAGAACCACAGUCCACAGGAGGCAGGUCAGGACUUGAGCCUACAGCUUGGCCAGAUCCAGUUGCCUGCUAAAAUAAAACAAAACUAAAUCCAACAUUCUCUUCAGGAUUUAAACGAGGCAUAGAUUCUCAGAACAUAAUAUUCAAAAUGCCUAGAAUAUAAUCUGAAGCUACUCAGCAUAUGAGGAACAAGAAAAAUUUCGACUGAUAAGGGAAUGGACAGUCAAGAGACGCCAACUCUAAGAGGACACACAUGUUGAAAUUAUUAGAUAAAGAUGCUGAGGCAGCUAUAACUAUGCUCCAGGAAACAAGGAUAAAUUCUCUUGAAAUGAAUAGAGAGAUAAAAAGAAAUAAAGAAAUAGAAGACAGAAGAACUAAAUAGACUUUUUUUUUUGAACCUAACAAUGCAAUAACCAAAAUAAAACAUGCAGUGGAUGGGAUCAAUAGCAAAAUAGAGAAGAGUCGGUGACCUUGACAGAUCAAUAGGACGUAUCUAAUAUGAACACAAAGAGAAAAAAUUAGAAAAACAAUGAACAGAGGCUUGAGGAUAUGUGGAACAAUACCAAGAAGUCUAACAUUCAUCUUGUCAGAGUCCCAGAAGGAGAGGGAAGGGACUAUGGUGAAAAAAAAAAAAAUUAUUUGAAGAAAUAAUGGGUAAAAACUUCUCAGAUUUGAUGAAAGAUAGAAACAGAUUGAAAAAUCUCAGUGAACCUCAAAUAAGAUAAACCCAAGGGAAUUCAUGCCCCAAAGCAGUCUAAUCAAACUGCUAAAAGCUAAGACAAAGACAAAAAAAUAAACCUUACAAGCGACCAGAGAAAAAUGGCACUUUGUACAGAGGGAAACAUUAAUUUGUAGGAUUGCGGAUUUCUUGUAUAAAACACUGGACACCAGAAGGAAAUGGAGCCACAGUUUUAAAGGGCUCAAAGGCAAAAACUGUCAAGCCAGUAUUCUCUGUCUGGUGAAAACAUCCUUCAGGAAUGAAGAUGAAAUAAAAACUUUCUCAGUGAAGGAAAGCAGAGGAACUUAGCACCAAUAGAUACACUCAAAAAAAAUUCUAAGGGAAUGCUUUCUCCCUGAGAUUUGGAACAAGCCAAGGAUGUUCUGGAAAAAGAAAACAAUAUGGCAAUGGGGAAUGAAUCAGUGGUUGCUGGGGAUUAGGGGUGGGGAAUGUGUGACCACUAAGGGGGAGCACAGAGAGUUUUGGGGUGAUGGAACUUUCUGUCCUGUUGUGGUCAUUACAUGAAACUAUAUAGAGAGAGAAAGCUUAAAACUGUUACAUACAAAAAGAAAAAGAAAGAAAGAAAGAAAAAUUAAUGUUAGCCUGUGUGUGUGUGUGUGUGUGUGUGUGUGUGUGUGUGUGUGUGUGUAGGGAGGAGUGUUGUACAAGGUGUGUGUAUGUUUGUUUGUGUUUUGUGCCUUAAGACAAUACAAAUGUAUCGUUUUCCAGUCCUGCAUGUUACAAUCCAACACAGGUCUCUCUGGGCUCAAUCAGGUGGAUAGCCAUAUUCUGGAAUUUUUUGAACGAUGAAUGGUGAAUAAUGUUUAAAAUUUAUUUUAUUUACACACCUUGCUGUCUAUUACCAACUAAUCACAGCCCUGGGUGACAGUCCUGGAAACAGAACAUUUUUAUUUUCACUUUAAAAACAAACAAGCAGGGGUGCCUGGGUGGCUCAGUCCAGCUUCGGCUCAGGUCAUGACCUCACGGUCCGUGAGUUUGAGUCCCGCGUCAGGCUCUUUGCUGACAGCUGGGAGCCUGGAGCCUGCUUCCGAAUCUGUGUCUCCCCCUCUCUCUGCCCCUCCCCCACUUGUGCACACUCUCUCUCUCUCUCUCUCUCUCUGUCUCGCUCUCUCUCUCAAAAAUAAAUUUAAAAAAUAAACAUUAAAAAAAAAAAAAACAAGCAGAUGAGCUCUAGGCCUCUCUCUAUCCCUUUCACAGCACAGGCCAAACGUGGAAGGAAAAGCAGGCACAGCUUCACAGAUUUCCUCUAGGAAGGAACACUAGUGGUGGUUGGGACACUGAGGGUUAUCCUCUGGUUCCAGUAAGGGUGAGGAGUGUCUCCAUCCUGACCAGCGCCUGCAGGAACCUGGAAAAAGAACUGAGGUGGGGCCAGGGGGAGAAAAAAGGAACAUGCACUGAACUUGCCCUCAUCUCCACAAACUCAUCUAGAACUCUCCAUCAAAGUUCUGAAAACACCUCACCUCCCAUGAAAACCCUGCCUCGGUGAGCCAUGUUCCUAUGAUUUAGGCUCCUCCUUUUCCCAUUACAAGAGAUGAACCCAGAACCUAAGAGUAAGCCAUGUAAUGCUUCUUGUUAAUUUAUUCAAAACCAGUGUUGGAGCGUCUAUAGGGUCUCAAGUAGCUGGGUCCACAGAUGUAAACAAGAGGGGUUAGUCCCUCACCCUUAUGACACUAAAGUCUAGGAAGAAGAACGCAGAAAAUAAACACAUAAAACACAUCUGAUGGUGGUAGGGCUGAACAGGAACUAAAAUGGAGUAACGGGAUGAGAUUCUGGAACCCCAUCCACUCACACACUUCCUAAGCGGCCGCCGUGGGCAAGGCCUUAACCACUCCAUGCUUCACCCACCUUAUCUGACAUGUGGGGGGAACAAUAGGACCUACCUCCUGAAGCUGUGAGAA
This is a long non-coding RNA of Acinonyx jubatus (cheetah), 11003 nucleotides long. RefSeq lists it as uncharacterized. NCBI's taxonomy places the organism in Eukaryota, Metazoa, Chordata, Mammalia, Carnivora, Felidae. The record is from RefSeq and is a predicted model, not a curated record. The transcript is spliced from 4 exons.